AAUCAACGCUGGCGGCGCGCUUAACACAUGCAAGUCGCACGAGAAAGUGGAGCAAUCCAUGAGUACAGUGGCGUACGGGUGAGUAACACGUGGGUAAUCUACCUCUUAGUGGGGAAUAACUCUGGGAAACCGGAGCUAAUACCGCAUAAGCCUGGAAAGGGAAAGCAGCAAUGCGCUGAGAGAGGAGCCCGCGGCCGAUUAGCUAGUUGGUAGGGUAAAGCCUACCAAGGCAAUGAUCGGUAGCCGGCCUGAGAGGGCACACGGCCACACUGGCACUGAAACACGGGCCAGACUCCUACGGGAGGCAGCAGUGGGGAAUCUUGCACAAUGGGGGCAACCCUGAUGCAGCGACGCCGCGUGAGCGAUGAAGCCCUUCGGGGUGUAAGCUCUUUCGGCAGGAACGAUAAUGACGGUACCUGAAGAAGAAGCUGCGGCUAACUACGUGCCAGCCGCCGC
RNAcentral lists this ribosomal RNA (456 nucleotides) under uncultured bacterium. Its description in RNAcentral is "bacterial SSU rRNA". It matches the Rfam family "Bacterial small subunit ribosomal RNA", at positions 32 to 518 of the family's 1533-position model. The record is from RNAcentral.